This 30-nucleotide non-coding RNA is filed under the name Mus musculus (house mouse). Lineage: Eukaryota; Metazoa; Chordata; Mammalia; Rodentia; Muridae. The record is from RNAcentral.
UAAAUGCUUCGAACCCUACAUAUAUCCCCA